CUAUGGUUUAUUGGAUCAUACCCGUUAAAUGGAUAACUGUAAUAACUCUAGAGCUAAUACAUGCCUCGAUGCCCUGACUCUGUCUGCUAUGCUAUGCUAUGCUGUGCUGUGGAUGGGGAAUGGGUGCACUUAUUAGAUCAGAAGCCAACCAACGAUGCGUGUGCGGCUGCAAAGUCGUGGCGUGCGUUGAGACACUUCUGGUGACUCUGGAUAAUUGUUACAGAUCGCAGUCGGCCUUGAGUCGGCGACGGGUCCUUCAAAUGUCUGCCCUAUCAACUUUCGAUGGUAGGUGACCUGCCUACCAUGGUGAUAACGGGUGACGGGGAAUCAGGGUUCGAUUCCGGAGAGGGAGCCUGAGAAACGGCUACCACUUCCAAGGGAGGCAGCAGGCGCGCAAAUUACCCACUCCCAGUACGGGGAGGUGGUGACGAAAAAUACCGAUGCGGGACUCCUUAAAGAGGCUCCGUAAUCGGAAUGAGUGGACUCUAAAUCCUUUCACGAGGAUCCAUUGGAGGGCAAGUCUGGUGCCAGCAGCCGCGGUAACUCCAGCUCCAAUAGCGUAUAUUAAAGUUGCUGCAGUUAAAAAGCUCGUAGUUGGAUCUCGGUAGCACUGUUGCCCGUCGGUAUUUGAGCGGCUGGUGUGUGGCAUAUGACGCGCGGUCUCAGCUUUGGCGGUCUGCUAGCGGGUGCGUCGGCGAUCGGGUGGUCUGCUUGGUCGACGGGUCGGUGGAUUGAUCUAUUCAUCGGUCGGUUGGUCAGUCGGUCGCGCGCUCCUCUUCUCUCCUCUCCUCUCUGACUCAAUCAAUCACUCGCUCACUCGUUGGUUUGCUCGGUCGCCCAUGCGACGCUGGCUGGCUGGCUGGCUGGCUGGCUGGCUGGCUGGCUGGCUAGUCGUGCUGGUGCAUGACUGGGUAGAUGGGUGGGUGGUGGUUGGGGUGGUGGGGUGUGGAUGGGUUGGGUGUGCGUGGACGUGGAUGGCUCGCCCGUUCGUUGAUGUGUCUGUUGCAGCGCCGCGCAGGGCGGGGCUGGGUUGUUGUGGCCAUUGAUUAGCGCUGUCGUGUCAAGCCGACAAGGCGGUGGUGUCACCUUUGAGCCAUGUCUGUGGUGUAGCAGCCGCAGGUGUGGGCGGGUGUUGGGCAGUGCCUCGCACACACUGUGGGGCCUGUCGGCUCGUCUGCAUGCCUUUGGAUGCCCUUCAAAAGGUGUCCGUGGGCGGAUGGCACGUUUACUUUGAACAAAUUUGAGUGCUCAAAUCAGGCCGAUGUUGCCUGAAAAGUUUUGCAUGGAAUAAUGGAAUAGGACUUCGGUUCUAUUUCGUUGGUUUUCGGAUCCGAAGUAAUGAUCAAAAGAGACAGGCGGGGACGUUUGUAUGGCUGCGCUAGAGGUGAAAUUCAUGGACCGUAGCCAGACAGACUAAAGCGAAAGCAUUCGUCAAGCAUGUUUUCAUUGGCCAUGAGCGAAAGUCAGAGGCUCGAAGACGAUCAGAUACCGUCCUAGUUCUGACCAUAAACGAUGCCAACUGACGAUCCGUGGUGGUAGUUCUUAAACCUUCCCCACGGGCAGUCCCCGGGAAACCUUUAANNNNNNNNNNNNNNNNNNNNNNNNNNNNNNNNNNNNCCUGCGGCUUAAUUUGACUCAACACGGGAAAACUCACCCGGGCCGGACACUAUGAGGAUUGACAGAUUGAGAGCUCUUUCUUGAUUUGGUGGUUGGUGGUGCAUGGCCGUUCUUAGUUGGUGGAGCGAUUUGUCUGGUUAAUUCCGAUAACGAACGAGACUCCAGCCUGCUAAUUAGUGCGUUCGUCCACUGCGUCUGUGUGGGCGGCGUUGGGCAAGGCUGCUGUCGCGAGCCGAAAGCUUCUCCCUCUUCUGUUUCGGCUGUUUCCGUGUUAUUCUCCUGCUCUCUCUUCUUACCGCGGUCGGUCGGUCGGUCGGUCGGUCGGUMGGUCGGUGGRYGGGUGGGYAGGCAGUCWGUCUGUCUGUCUGUCUGUCUGUCUGUCUGCCUGCCUGUCUGUCUGUUUGACCGUGAGCGUGGGGUAGGGUGGGGUGUGGAGUUGGUGCGGAUGGCGUUGGAUGGUUGAGGGGUUGACGCUCGUGAUGGUUUGGUGAGUCCAGCGUUGGCUCCCGGGUGCGGCGCGAAUGCCUACUUCUUAGAGGGACAAGCGGGAGAAGCCGCACGAAAUAGAGCAAUAACAGGUCUGUGAUGCCCUUAGAUGUCCGGGGCCGCACGCGCGCUACAAUGACGGUGUCAACGAGUUAGACCUUCUGGCCCGAAAGGGUUGGGCAAACUGGUCAAUCACCGUCAUGACAGGGAUCGGGGCUUGGAAUUGUUCCCCGUGAACGAGGAAUUCCUAGUAAGUGCAAGUCAUAAGCUUGCGCUGAUUACGUCCCUGCCCUUUGUACACACCGCCCGUCGCUACUACCGAUUGAAUGGUUUAGUAAGGUCCUUGGAUUGGCGCCAUUGUGGUGGCCGCCGAGAGGCGACUGCCCGUCAGGCGCUGAGAAGACGACCGAACUUGAUCAUUUAGA
RNAcentral lists this ribosomal RNA (2528 nucleotides) under Anonchotaenia cf. brasiliensis AW-2013. Its description in RNAcentral is "SSU rRNA". It matches the Rfam family "Eukaryotic small subunit ribosomal RNA". Lineage: Eukaryota; Metazoa; Platyhelminthes; Cestoda; Cyclophyllidea; Paruterinidae. The record is from RNAcentral.